GUACGUUCUCAGGGCGGGGUGGAAGUCCCCACCGGCGGUAAUGGCGAAAGCCUGAGCCCGCGAGCGCCGGACCUUUCGGGGUUCGGGUCAGCAGAUUCGGUGCGAUUCCGAAGCCGACGGUCAUAGUCCGGAUGAGAGAGAACGGGA
This 147-nucleotide non-coding RNA is filed under the name Devosia geojensis. RNAcentral describes it as "FMN sequence". It matches the Rfam family "FMN riboswitch aptamer (RFN element)". From Rfam's summary of the family: The RFN element is a highly conserved domain that is found frequently in the 5'-untranslated regions of prokaryotic mRNAs that encode for flavin mononucleotide (FMN) biosynthesis and transport proteins. Lineage: Bacteria; Pseudomonadati; Pseudomonadota; Alphaproteobacteria; Hyphomicrobiales; Devosiaceae. The record is from Rfam by way of RNAcentral.